GAAGGGCCACAGCUUAGUGAAAGGGCAUCUGCUUUGCAUGCAGAAGGUCCCAGUUCAAUCCUUGGCAUCUUCA
Molecule: non-coding RNA, 73 nt
Organism: Podarcis lilfordi (Lilford's wall lizard)
Lineage: Eukaryota; Metazoa; Chordata; Lepidosauria; Squamata; Lacertidae
Source: the annotation of a GenBank genome assembly